UACGGAGGGAGCUAGCGUUAUUCGGAAUUACUGGGCGUAAAGCGCACGUAGGCGGUUACUCAAGUCAGAGGUGAAAGCCUGGAGCUCAACUCCAGAACUGCCUUUGAAACUAGGUGACUUGAAUCCAGGAGAGGUGAGUGGAAUUCCGAGUGUAGAGGUGAAAUUCGUAGAUAUUCGGAAGAACACCAGUGGCGAAGGCGGCUCACUGGACUGGUAUUGACGCUGAGGUGCGAAAGCGUGGGGAGCAAACAGG
Molecule: ribosomal RNA, 253 nt
Filed under: uncultured bacterium
Lineage: Bacteria
Description: partial 16S ribosomal RNA
Rfam family: Bacterial small subunit ribosomal RNA
Source: RNAcentral